UCCCUGGUAGUCCAGUGGUUAAGCUCUGCAUUUCCAAUUCAGGGGGCACAGGUUUAAUCCCUGGCCAGGGAG
RNAcentral lists this transfer RNA (72 nucleotides) under Bos taurus (domestic cattle). It matches the Rfam family "tRNA". Rfam says of the family: Transfer RNA (tRNA) molecules are approximately 80 nucleotides in length. Their secondary structure includes four short double-helical elements and three loops (D, anti-codon, and T loops). The record is from Rfam by way of RNAcentral. Lineage: Eukaryota; Metazoa; Chordata; Mammalia; Artiodactyla; Bovidae. RNAcentral also lists the same sequence under 1 other name.